This is a long non-coding RNA of Episyrphus balteatus (marmalade hoverfly), 1048 nucleotides long. RefSeq lists it as uncharacterized. NCBI's taxonomy places the organism in Eukaryota, Metazoa, Arthropoda, Insecta, Diptera, Syrphidae. The transcript has 4 exons. The record is from RefSeq and is a predicted model, not a curated record.
UUCUCAAACUAUUGAUGCUAAUAAAAAGAUUUAUAAGAAUCUUCAAAAUAAAAUCCAGUUUCAAAAUUCUCUAAACUGUUCAAGAACCUACAAAUCUUGUUUUCGUUAAGUUAUUGUCGCUUACUUUUGCAAUCAGCAUUCUGUUACCAGAAUAAAGUUUGUCGAUAAUACAGACUACAUUUUUCCAAAUUACCACGUACAAAAAGCUGCACAUAUCCGUUUUUGAUCCAUUUCAAAUUAUUCCAGGCCUAAUCACCAUGUGACUAGAAUGUUACAUGCUCUCGAUAACUUUCUUUUCGAUCAAGACGUCAGGCAAGCCAGUCACCUUCUUUCAAAAGAAUUCGCACUUUAAAAGAAACAAGAAUUGUGGUUAAAUUGGAACUUUUUUGUGUGGCCUCGGGCAACGUAAAAAUCAAUUAUUUUUGCUCGGCGUGCUGCAUUAACUCAAGCGUUACCCAUUGUUCUUAUAAGAACAUUUUGUCUUUCUUUUUGACAAACGACCUCCAAGAUCCAAUCAGUGUUCCAGCUUUCGUCAGAGUCGGACGAAACACAUUUCCAUGCACUGGCAUGGUCCAAAAAGCCGAUAAAGCUGACGGAAUUUUCAAAAAGAAAAACAAGUUUCAAAAAAAAAAAACUAUAAAGGUAAGGGAUGGGCUAAUCCGAAGUAAAAAGUUAAAAAUAUAAAAUAAAAUUAAAGCCAUUUCUUCGCCCCUUUCAAUUUUUCAGUUACGCCCAUUUCAAGUUUUUUCUCUGUUCGUUACCUACUCGGCAACCAGACAAAAUAAAUUUGAACAGAGAAUCUCGAAAAAAACCAAAAAUCUCUUAAAAAGGUUUGGUUUAUCGAUCAAAAGGAUUUUUAACUUUAUCGAAUACAUCUAUACAUCUAAAUAUCAAGAUCUGCAUAUCAAGAAAAAAAAGAACCAAGCUAGAGAAUUUGCAAGUGAGGGAAAUCCCUCCUUGCUCUACAGGCCUAUCAUAGGUGAAAUCAACAUCACAUUAAAGGUGCGAUAGAAAUAAAAGAAAAUUAUAAAGAAAAGUGCAAAAAAAA